Molecule: ribosomal RNA, 496 nt
Filed under: uncultured bacterium
Lineage: Bacteria
Description: partial 16S ribosomal RNA
Rfam family: Bacterial small subunit ribosomal RNA
Source: RNAcentral
GAUGAACGCUGGCGGCGUGCCUAAUACAUGCAAGUCGAGCGAACAGACGAGGAGCUUGCUCCUCUGACGUUAGCGGCGGACGGGUGAGUAACACGUGGAUAACCUACCUAUAAGACUGGGAUAACUUCGGGAAACCGGAGCUAAUACCGGAUAAUAUAUUGAACCGCAUGGUUCAAUAGUGAAAGACGGUUUUGCUGUCACUUAUAGAUGGAUCCGCGCCGCAUUAGCUAGUUGGUAAGGUAACGGCUUACCAAGGCAACGAUGCGUAGCCGACCUGAGGGGGUGAUCGGCCACACUGGAACUGAGACACGGUCCAGACUCCUACGGGAGGCAGCAGUAGGGAAUCUUCCGCAAUGGGCGAAAGCCUGACGGAGCAACGCCGCGUGAGUGAUGAAGGUCUUCGGAUCGUAAAACUCUGUUAUUAGGGAAGAACAAAUGUGUAAGUAACUAUGCACGUCUUGACGGUACCUAAGCAGAAAGCCACGGCUAACUACGU